GAUGAACGCUGGCGGCGUGCCUAAUACAUGCAAGUCGAGCGAACAGACGAGGAGCUUGCUCCUCUGACGUUAGCGGCGGACGGGUGAGUAACACGUGGAUAACCUACCUAUAAGACUGGGAUAACUUCGGGAAACCGGAGCUAAUACCGGAUAAUAUAUUGAACCGCAUGGUUCAAUAGUGAAGGACGGUUUUGCUGUCACUUAUAGAUGGAUCCGCGCCGCAUUAGCUAGUUGGUAAGGUAACGGCUUACCAAGGUAACGAUGCGUAGCCGACCUGAGAGGGUGAUCGGCCACACUGGAACUGAGACACGGUCCAGACUCCUACGGGAGGCAGCAGUAGGGAAUCUUCCGCAAUGGGCGAAAGCCUGACGGAGCAACGCCGCGUGAGUGAUGAAGGUCUUCGGAUCGUAAAACUCUGUUAUUAGGGAAGAACAAAUGUGUAAGUAACUAUGCACGUCUUGACGGUACCUAAUCAGAAAGCCACGGCUAACUACGUG
Molecule: ribosomal RNA, 497 nt
Filed under: uncultured bacterium
Lineage: Bacteria
Description: partial 16S ribosomal RNA
Rfam family: Bacterial small subunit ribosomal RNA
Source: RNAcentral